CUACGGAGGGUGCAAGCGUUAAUCGGAAUUACUGGGCGUAAAGCGUACGUAGGCGGUCCGUUAAGUUAGAUGUGAAAGCCCCGGGCUUAACCUGGGAACUGCAUUUAAAACUGGCGGACUAGAGUUGAGUAGAGGGGAGUGGAAUUUCAGGUGUAGCGGUGAAAUGCGUAGAGAUCUGAAGGAACACCAGUGGCGAAGGCGACUCCCUGGACUCGAACUGACGCUGAGGUACGAAAGCGUGGGUAGCAAACGGGAUUAGAUACCCCUGUAGUCC
This 274-nucleotide ribosomal RNA is filed under the name uncultured bacterium. RNAcentral's name for it is "partial 16S ribosomal RNA". It matches the Rfam family "Bacterial small subunit ribosomal RNA", at positions 523 to 796 of the family's 1533-position model. The record is from RNAcentral.